Molecule: ribosomal RNA, 941 nt
Filed under: Bacillus sp. PS5(2011)
Lineage: Bacteria; Bacillati; Bacillota; Bacilli; Caryophanales; Bacillaceae
Description: bacterial SSU rRNA
Rfam family: Bacterial small subunit ribosomal RNA
Source: RNAcentral
GGGUUGGGGGGGUGCCCAAAAAAUGCAAGGUCGAGCGAAUGGAUUAAGAGCUUGCUCUUAUGAAGUUAGCGGCGGACGGGUGAGUAACACGUGGGUAACCUGCCCAUAAAACUGGGAUAACUCCGGGAAACCGGGGCUAAUACCGGAUAACAUUUUGAACUGCAGGGUUCAAAAUUGAAAGGCGGCUUCGGCUGUCACUUAUGGAUGGACCCGCGUCGCAUUAGCUAGUUGGUGAGGUAACGGCUCACCAAGGCAACGAUGCGUACCCAACCUGAGAGGGUGAUCGGCCACACUGGGACUGAAACACGGCCCAAACUCCUACGGGAGGCAGCAGUAGGGAAUCUUCCGCAAUGGACAAAAGUCUGACGGACCAACGCCGCGUGAGUGAUGAAGGCUUUCGGGUCGUAAAACUCUGUUGUUAGGGAAAAACAAGUGCUAGUUGAAUAAGCUGGCACCUUGACGGUACCUAACCAAAAAGCCACGGCUAACUACGUGCCAGCAGCCGCGGUAAUACGUAGGUGGCAAGCGUUAUCCGGAAUUAUUGGGCGUAAAGCGCGCGCAGGUGGUUUCUUAAGUCUGAUGUGAAAGCCCACGGCUCAACCGUGGAGGGUCAUUGGAAACUGGAAGACUUGAGUGCAGAAGAGGAAAGUGGAAUUCCAUGUGUAGCGGUGAAAUGCGUAGAGAUAUGGAGGACACCAGUGGCGAAGGCGACUUUUCUGGUCUGUAACUGACACUGAGGCGCGAAAGCGUGGGGAGCAAACAGGAUUAGAUACCCUGGUAGUCCACGCCGUAAACGAUGAGUGCUAGUGUUAGAGGGUUUCCGCCCUUUAGUGCUGAGUACGCAUAGCACUCGCUUGGGGGAGUACGGCGCAAGCUGAACUCAAGAUGACGGAGCCGCCAGCGUUGACAUGUGUUUAACUCGAAGCAACGCGAAGAAUUCU